This 77-nucleotide small RNA is filed under the name Salmonella enterica subsp. enterica serovar Typhimurium. RNAcentral's name for it is "RtT RNA". It matches the Rfam family "RtT RNA", at positions 36 to 111 of the family's 130-position model. From Rfam's summary of the family: This family represents a bacterial cis-regulatory element known as RtT RNA. The exact function of RtT is unknown although it is thought that it may be involved in changing the cellular response in relation to amino acid starvation. Lineage: Bacteria; Pseudomonadati; Pseudomonadota; Gammaproteobacteria; Enterobacterales; Enterobacteriaceae. The record is from RNAcentral.
CUAAGGUUCGAUUCGAGCGCAGCGAGAAAGCGUUGCCGCAGGCAACGACCCGAAGGGCGAAGCGCGCAGCGCUGAGU